UCAGGAAUCUUGGGCAAUGGGCGAAAGCCUGACCCAGCAACGCCGUGUGAGGGAUGAAGGCCUUCGGGUCGUAAACCUCUGUCGGAAGGGAAGAAAGGUCCUUCUUCGAAUAGGUGGAGGGCUUGACGGUACCUUCAAAGGAAGCACCGGCUAACUCCGUGCCAGCAGCCGCGGUAAUACGGAGGGUGCAAGCGUUGUUCGGAAUUACUGGGCGUAAAGCGCGUGUAGGCGGCCAGGUUAGUCGGAUGUGAAAUCCCGGGGCCCAACCCCGGAACUGCAUCCGAUACUGCCUGGCUCGAGUCGUGGAGAGGAAGGCGGAAUUCCGGGUGUAGAGGUGAAAUUCGUAGAUAUCCGGAGGAACACCAGUGGCGAAGGCGGCCUUCUGGACACUGACUGACGCUGAGACGCGAAAGCGUGGGGAGCAAACAGGAUUAGAUACCCCCGUAGUCC
RNAcentral lists this ribosomal RNA (450 nucleotides) under uncultured prokaryote. Its description in RNAcentral is "bacterial SSU rRNA". It matches the Rfam family "Bacterial small subunit ribosomal RNA", at positions 355 to 796 of the family's 1533-position model. The record is from RNAcentral.